GUCGACAGGAUCCACGCGCGAGGGGCAGGGGAUCCAGUCGACACAAGCCGCGCGAGGGAUCCAGCACUCGAGGGGAUCAACCCUAGGCGCGGGAUGCGGGUGAUCCGCCUCGUGUAAGAGGCGAACCUGUCGCCCCUCAUGGUGUACUUCAUGGCCAACAACGCUUGCUUGCCUGACCACUUAUAGGCACACCAGGACAAGCCCCUCGAGGAGACAGCAGUACCAGGAAUAGCAGAGGCCAGCCACUAUUUCCUUCGAUUGCAGCAUCCCUGUACGAGGUUCAGCCAUGGCUCCGGGAUAUAUUAGCAUCUUUCAUGGAGAUUCAUUGUGCCCCUUCCUUUCAUACUCUAUUCCAGCAACAAAACCAGUGGAAAAACUUGCAGGGCUGCAAAGCUUGCACACGUAUUUUGGUUGGAUUCAUGGCUGGCCUUUUUACAGUGGAUUCAGGGCAGGUAAGUGCAUAUGGAAGGAAAAAAAUGGUACCAAAUGUAUGCGUUCAAAUCAUAUAUCUCUUUUCAAUGUUUAAUAAUCUGCUUCAUGAUUAUUUUUCCAAGAGACAUGACUGAACUCAAGCGUUCAUUAUCUCUGCUGACAUGAAGUGACACCUUUUAAGAACACGGUACAUAUGGAAAUGAAGCAAAUAGCAGAAAUUCUUUGUUGACAAAAGUCCGUAUUAAUGGCAGCCAUCCUUUUGAAUAACACUGUUUGCAUGUAUUAAGCUAAAAAGAAAAGAUAUACAUUAUAUGUCUUGUUUGUUGGGUUACCCGUUAACAUGAUGUAUCAGGGGUUACUUUUCACAAUCAUUGUUGUUGCUUUCUUCAA
This is a long non-coding RNA of Triticum aestivum (bread wheat), 822 nucleotides long. RefSeq lists it as uncharacterized. NCBI's taxonomy places the organism in Eukaryota, Viridiplantae, Streptophyta, Magnoliopsida, Poales, Poaceae. The record is from RefSeq and is a predicted model, not a curated record. The transcript has 3 exons.